GGGGAUAUAGCUCAGUGGUAGAGCUCAUGCUUGGCAGACAUAAGGCCCUGGGUUCAAUCCCCAGCACCA
RNAcentral lists this transfer RNA (69 nucleotides) under Neotoma lepida (desert woodrat). It matches the Rfam family "tRNA". From Rfam's summary of the family: Transfer RNA (tRNA) molecules are approximately 80 nucleotides in length. Their secondary structure includes four short double-helical elements and three loops (D, anti-codon, and T loops). Lineage: Eukaryota; Metazoa; Chordata; Mammalia; Rodentia; Cricetidae. The record is from Rfam by way of RNAcentral.